RNAcentral lists this ribosomal RNA (254 nucleotides) under uncultured bacterium. RNAcentral describes it as "partial 16S ribosomal RNA". It matches the Rfam family "Bacterial small subunit ribosomal RNA", at positions 524 to 776 of the family's 1533-position model. The record is from RNAcentral.
CACGUAGGGUGCGAGCGUUGUCCGGAAUUAUUGGGCGUAAAGAGCUCGUAGGCGGUGUGUCGCGUCGGCCGUGAAAACCUGCAGCUUAACUGUGGGCUUGCGGUCGAUACGGGCAUCACUGGAGUUCGGCAGGGGAGACUGGAAUUCCUGGUGUAGCGGUGAAAUGCGCAGAUAUCUGGAGGAACACCGGUGGCGAAGGCGGCAUCCUGGACCGGCAUUGACGCUGAGGCGCGAAAGCCAGGGGAGCAAACGGG